RNAcentral lists this small nuclear RNA (191 nucleotides) under Echeneis naucrates (live sharksucker). Its description in RNAcentral is "U2 spliceosomal RNA (ENSENLG00000008285.1)". It matches the Rfam family "U2 spliceosomal RNA". From Rfam's summary of the family: U2 is a small nuclear RNA (snRNA) component of the spliceosome (involved in pre-mRNA splicing). Complementary binding between U2 snRNA (in an area lying towards the 5' end but 3' to hairpin I) and the branchpoint sequence (BPS) of the intron results the bulging out of an unpaired adenosine, on the BPS, which initiates a nucleophilic attack at the intronic 5' splice site, thus starting the first of two transesterification reactions that mediate splicing. Lineage: Eukaryota; Metazoa; Chordata; Actinopteri; Carangiformes; Echeneidae. The record is from Rfam by way of RNAcentral.
AUCGCUUCUCGGCCUUUUGGCUAAGAUCAAGUGUAGUAUCUGUUCUUAUCAGUUUAAUAUCUGAUACGUCCCCUACCCGGGGACUAUAUAUUAAAUAGAUUUUCGGAACAGAGAGAUGGAAUAGGGGCUUGCUCCGUCCACUCCACGCAUCGACCUGGUAUUGCAGUAUCUCCAGGAACGGUGCACUCCCU